RNAcentral lists this transfer RNA (75 nucleotides) under Rhodococcus erythropolis. Its description in RNAcentral is "tRNA-Gly". The stretch from base 7 to 65 matches the Rfam family "tRNA", at positions 7 to 64 of the family's 71-position model. From Rfam's summary of the family: Transfer RNA (tRNA) molecules are approximately 80 nucleotides in length. Their secondary structure includes four short double-helical elements and three loops (D, anti-codon, and T loops). Further hydrogen bonds mediate the characteristic L-shaped molecular structure. tRNAs have two regions of fundamental functional importance: the anti-codon, which is responsible for specific mRNA codon recognition, and the 3' end, to which the tRNAs corresponding amino acid is attached (by aminoacyl-tRNA synthetases). tRNAs cope with the degeneracy of the genetic code in two manners: having more than one tRNA (with a specific anti-codon) for a particular amino acid; and 'wobble' base-pairing, i.e. permitting non-standard base-pairing at the 3rd anti-codon position. The record is from RNAcentral. Lineage: Bacteria; Bacillati; Actinomycetota; Actinomycetes; Mycobacteriales; Nocardiaceae.
AUCUUCGUGGGGAAACCCCAAUCCCGUCAGCUUCCCAAGCUGAAUACGCGGGUUCGAUUCCCGUCAUCGGCUCCA